GAUCAUUACUAGAGCAAAGGAUAGACAGCGCCCGCGGAGCUCGCUCCCGGGGCUACCCUACUCCCGUAGGGUUUAGAGUCGUCGGGCCUCUCGGAGAAGCUCGGUCCUGAACUCCACCCUUGAAUAAACUACCUUUGUUGCUUUGGCGGGCCGCCUCGUGCCAGCGGCUUCGGCUGUUGAGUGCCCGCCAGAGGACCCCAACUCUUGUUUUUAGUGAUGUCUGAGUACUAUAUAAUAGUUAAAACUUUCAACAACGGAUCUCUUGGUUCUGGCAUCGAUGAAGAACGCAGCGAAAUGCGAUAAGUAAUGUGAAUUGCAGAAUUCAGUGAAUCAUCGAAUCUUUGAACGCACAUUGCGCCCUCUGGUAUUCCGGGGGGCAUGCCUGUUCGAGCGUCAUUAUAACCACUCAAGCUCUCGCUUGGUAUUGGGGUUCGCGGUUUCGCGGCCCCUAAAAUCAGUGGCGGUGCCUGUCGGCUCUACGCGUAGUAAUACUCCUCGCGAUUGAGUCCGGUAGGUCUACUUGCCAGCAACCCCUAAUUUUUUUAAGGUUGACCUCGGAUCAGGUAGGGAUACCCGCUGAACUUAAGCAUAUCAA
RNAcentral lists this ribosomal RNA (595 nucleotides) under Leptodontidium sp. bc_gw_7974i. RNAcentral's name for it is "eukaryotic LSU rRNA". The stretch from base 243 to 396 matches the Rfam family "5.8S ribosomal RNA". Lineage: Eukaryota; Fungi; Ascomycota; Leotiomycetes; Helotiales; Leptodontidiaceae. The record is from RNAcentral.